Molecule: small nucleolar RNA, 75 nt
Organism: Hermetia illucens (black soldier fly)
Lineage: Eukaryota; Metazoa; Arthropoda; Insecta; Diptera; Stratiomyidae
Source: RefSeq, a predicted model, not a curated record
AUUUCAUGAUGACGACUUUAGUCAGUUCUGCUGCUGAAAAAACGUGUGGAAAUUAAAUACCAAAACCUCUGAUUG